CAACAGCACACAGGCAAAGUAAAGAUUCGAGUUCUGAAACCAGAAUCAUUUACAGCUCCGCUUCAGCCGCCACCUCCGCCCUCUUUCCAAACUAAUGGUCAACGGACAGCGAGAAGAAACAGAGUCAAGGAAGCGAUCUGUGGACCGUGUGAGGUGAAGACUGCAGGAUUGCAGUUUAGUUGGGGCCAUUCAUCAAUGUUUGAGACUUUCAAAGCUGCUGUUCAGUCUCACCUACUCCUGACUCACUUCUGCUCAAGAAGAGAAACCCCGCUGUGCAACUGUAUUUGUGAAUAGGAAGGAAAAGUGUGUAUUUCAAGAACUGUCGCUACAGGUACAGAAAAAACAAAACAUCACUCUCGCAGCAAAGCUGUCUCUAUCUAAACGUGUAGUUCUUCAAUUCUGUUAAAGGGGCCUUACCAUGAUUUUCUU
Molecule: long non-coding RNA, 429 nt
Filed under: Oryzias javanicus (javanese ricefish)
Lineage: Eukaryota; Metazoa; Chordata; Actinopteri; Beloniformes; Adrianichthyidae
Description: lncRNA (ENSOJAG00000008019.1)
Source: RNAcentral